RNAcentral lists this ribosomal RNA (700 nucleotides) under uncultured bacterium. Its description in RNAcentral is "bacterial SSU rRNA". It matches the Rfam family "Bacterial small subunit ribosomal RNA", at positions 54 to 769 of the family's 1533-position model. The record is from RNAcentral.
CAUGCAGUCGAGCGAUGAAGUUUCUUCGGAAAUGGAUUAGCGGCGAACGGGUGAGGAACACGUGAAGAAUCUGCCCUCCACUUUGGGAUAACACCGGGAAACCGGUGCUAAUACUGAAUAUUGAAACAUAAGUGGCAUCACUGAGUUUUGAAAGAAUUUCGGUGGAGGAUGACUUCGCGGCCUAUCAGCUAGUUGGUGAGGUAAUGGCUCACCAAGGCAACGACGGGUAGCCGGCCUGAGAGGGCGACCGGCCACACUGGGACUGAGACACGGCCCAGACUCCUACGGGAGGCAGCAGUGGGGAAUAUUGGGCAAUGGAGGAAACUCUGACCCAGCGACGCCGCGUGCGGGAUGAAGGCCUUCGGGUUGUAAACCGCUUUCAGUAGGGAAGAAGCGAAAGUGACGGUACCUACAAAAGAAGCACCGGCUAACUAUGUGCCAGCAGCCGCGGUAAUACAUAGGGUGCAAGCGUUGUCCGGAAUUAUUGGGCGUAAAGAGCUCGUAGGUCGUUUGUUACGUCGGAUGUGAAAACCUGAGGCUCAACCUCAGGCCUGCAUUCGAUACGGGCAAACUAGAGUUUGGUAGGGGAGACUGGAAUUCCUGGUGUAGCGGUGGAAUGCGCAGAUAUCAGGAGGAACACCAAUGGCGAAGGCAGGUCUCUGGGCCAAUACUGACACUGAGGAGCGAAAGUCUGGGGAGC